Brachypodium distachyon (stiff brome) is the source of this 569-nucleotide long non-coding RNA. RefSeq lists it as uncharacterized. The transcript has 2 exons. The record is from RefSeq and is a predicted model, not a curated record. Lineage: Eukaryota; Viridiplantae; Streptophyta; Magnoliopsida; Poales; Poaceae.
UUUGCCGAGAGGAGAGAAAUCGUUGUUCUCUCUCCCGUUCCAUCCGAUGAGGAGAGAAUUCAUAAUCUCUCUCCAAAUCCAUUUGUUGAGAGAUAAUCGAUCGGCUCUUCGUAUCUCUCUCCCCCAGGUUCCAUGAUUUGUUGAGAAAUCAUUGCCCCGCGCAAAAAUUAACGGCAUUGCAAAAUGGAUCAUGACAUCAGUUCUUCUCAUCGCCAAGGACCUCCUAGGCCAUUGACACCUCCAUCCACGAACGAGGAGGAGCGUCCUGCGCCUACCCAAUCCUGCUUCAUAUUAGGAUUGUAAGAUGAUUAACGCUGCCAUGCCAUAAUUAAUUAGUUUCAGCCUGAAUUGCUACGAAGAUACAUGUUAGAGACAUUAUCCACCGAUCAUGACAGUUUCAUGUGUGAUGUUGCAGCUUCACCGCGCUAUGUUGUUGCUGCCUGGUUGAAGAGACGCUCAUGUGACAUGCAUGGUUAUCUUGCCUGUUCUGUCGUGUUUUGUAUAUACUGGAAAUUAACUUAUUAUCAAAGUCUCAGUGCCUCUGACAUGUGAAAUGCUACUUUUCAUUC